AACGAACGCUGGCGGCGUGCUUAACACAUGCAAGUCGAACGUGAUUGGAAGCUUGCUUCCAUGAAAGUGGCGCACGGGUGAGUAACGCGUGGAUAACCUGCCCUGGUAUCCGGAAUAACAUCUCGAAAGGGGUGCUAAUACCGGAUAAGCCUACGGAGCCCUCGGUCUCUGCAGGAAAAGGUGGCCUCUAUUUAUAAGCUACCGUAUCAGGAUGGGUCCGCGUACCAUUAGCUAGUUGGUGGGGUAAUGGCCUACCAAGGCGACGAUGGUUAGCUGGUCUGAGAGGAUGAUCAGCCACACUGGAACUGAGACACGGUCCAGACUCCUACGGGUGGCAG
This 338-nucleotide ribosomal RNA is filed under the name uncultured Pseudomonadota bacterium. RNAcentral describes it as "bacterial SSU rRNA". It matches the Rfam family "Bacterial small subunit ribosomal RNA", at positions 29 to 351 of the family's 1533-position model. Lineage: Bacteria; Pseudomonadati; Pseudomonadota. The record is from RNAcentral.